GAUGAACGCUGGCGGCGUGCCUAAUACAUGCAAGUCGAGCGAACAGAUGAGGAGCUUGCUCCUCUGACGUUAGCGGCGGACGGGUGAGUAACACGUGGAUAACCUACCUAUAAGACUGGGAUAACUUCGGGAAACCGGAGCUAAUACCGGAUAAUAUAUUGAACCGCAUGGUUCAAUAGUGAAAGACGGUUUUGCUGUCACUUAUAGAUGGAUCCGCGCCGCACUAGCUAGUUGGUAAGGUAACGGCUUACCAGGGCAACGAUGCGUAGCCGACCUGAGAGGGUGAUCGGCCACACUGGAACUGAGACACGGUCCAGACUCCUACGGGAGGCAGCAGUAGGGAAUCUUCCGCAAUGGGCGAAAGCCUGACGGAGCAACGCCGCGUGAGUGAUGAAGGUCUUCGGAUCGUAAAACUCUGUUAUUAGGGAAGAACAAAUGUGUAAGUAACUAUGCACGUCUUGACGGUACCUAAUCAGAAAGCCACGGCUAACUACGUG
Molecule: ribosomal RNA, 497 nt
Filed under: uncultured bacterium
Lineage: Bacteria
Description: partial 16S ribosomal RNA
Rfam family: Bacterial small subunit ribosomal RNA
Source: RNAcentral